AGGCUUAUAGUUCAGAGGUAGAACACACUGCUCAUAACGGUUUAGUCGCAGGUUCAAAUCCUGCUGAGCCUA
Molecule: transfer RNA, 72 nt
Filed under: Phaeodactylum tricornutum
Lineage: Eukaryota; Bacillariophyta; Bacillariophyceae; Surirellales; Neidiaceae
Description: tRNA-Ile
Rfam family: tRNA
About the family: Transfer RNA (tRNA) molecules are approximately 80 nucleotides in length.
Source: RNAcentral